CCCUCUAUCAAAACACAUAAAACGAGCAGCAAAGACUGCUCUUAUGGCCAUUUUCGGCUGAGUUUAACACUUACCAGCAAUGGAAUUGAAGAUUUUGUUCAUCACAGUCUUGUUUCUUGGGGCCAGUGCAGCAUUUUCUCUACGAGAGGAGCAGGAAGAUGCUCUAAACGAAUAUGAAGCUCAAGAACUCGAGGAAAUGAACAACGACGGACCAGAAUAUGGUAGGUUAUUAUCACGCGUUUCAUUCUCACAAAUUAG
Molecule: long non-coding RNA, 258 nt
Organism: Orbicella faveolata
Lineage: Eukaryota; Metazoa; Cnidaria; Anthozoa; Scleractinia; Merulinidae
Source: RefSeq, a predicted model, not a curated record